RNAcentral lists this ribosomal RNA (253 nucleotides) under uncultured bacterium. Its description in RNAcentral is "partial 16S ribosomal RNA". It matches the Rfam family "Bacterial small subunit ribosomal RNA", at positions 524 to 776 of the family's 1533-position model. The record is from RNAcentral.
UACGUAGGGGGCAAGCGUUGUCCGGAUUUAUUGGGUUUAAAGGGUGCGUAGGCGGCCCCGUAAGUCAGUGCUGAAAUAUCCCGGCUUAACCGGGAGGGUGGCAUUGAUACUGCAGGGCUUGAGUAAAGUUGAGGUAGGCGGAAUUGACGGUGUAGCGGUGAAAUGCUUAGAUAUCGUCAAGAACACCGAUAGUGUAGACAGCUUACUAAGCUUUAACUGACGCUGAGGCACGAAAGUGUGGGGAUCAAACAGG